AUUAAAACUAAAAGAAAUUGGAUGGCCAUCUGCCAUUUUCUUUAAGCAAUCAAAGCAAUCCCUAAUUUUCCCCUUUUUUAACCGAUUCUCAAAGACCAAACCCUAGCCACUUCAAAAACAAAGGAAAUUUCCCCUUUCACUAUUCGGCCGAUUAACACUCUAAAAUCCCCAUCUCAGGCUUCGAUUUCGACGAAGGAGAUAAGGAUUCCGAUGGCUCGUUUUCGAAGGUUCGAUUGUACGGAAAAGAACACUCGUGGAUGAGGCUCGGAGACUCUGCGGAAUUGCUCAUAGGAGCCCGAUCCCCUGGCGUUGUUCUAGCACGUUCCAGAAGCUUCUGGCUUGUGUAAACUUGGUAACUUAGGAUUUCUUGAAUAUUUUUCUGUUUUGGGUCAGAAUUUGGGCUAGGGGUUUAUGUUAUUGUGGGCUAAAUAAUAAGACUUGUAACAGGGACAUUGGACCUAAUUAUUUUUGUUUUUUUAUUUUUGUUUUAUUUUGGUUUUGGUUUUGGUUCUAGUGUAAGCCCGGGCAAAAAUGGGUCAUUACACUCAUGGAAAAAGGAUUUAAUUUGGGAGAAAGUAAUCACAGUGACUUCAUGGAAAAAGUUCAGAAAAUAGUUAUUAAAUUGGGAAGCGUUUUGUGAUGAAAAACCGAUCCUAGAUCUUGAGUUAGUUCGAGAAUUUUAUGCAAAUCUGACCUCAACUAAUGCAAUAGAAGCUUUGUCCGAGGUAUUAAGAUAAAUGUUGACACGGAGAUGUUGCAAGAAUUUUUACGUGAACUUACAAUUCCUGGGUUUAAAUGGACUAUGUCGAGAUGCGGAAAUCAUACUUGUCGUAGAGAAAAUUUGACCCCAUUAGCAAAGGUAUGGUUUUAUUUUUUACGUUUUAGUCUAAUGUCUGUCUCACAUAGCACCACAAUUUUUGUGGAACGGAUGGUUUUGUUAUAUUCAAUUAUGAAAGCAAAGGCUAUUAAGGUGUAA
This is a long non-coding RNA of Gossypium arboreum, 976 nucleotides long. RefSeq lists it as uncharacterized. NCBI's taxonomy places the organism in Eukaryota, Viridiplantae, Streptophyta, Magnoliopsida, Malvales, Malvaceae. The transcript is spliced from 3 exons. The record is from RefSeq and is a predicted model, not a curated record.